RNAcentral lists this ribosomal RNA (446 nucleotides) under uncultured bacterium. RNAcentral's name for it is "partial 16S ribosomal RNA". It matches the Rfam family "Bacterial small subunit ribosomal RNA", at positions 330 to 792 of the family's 1533-position model. The record is from RNAcentral.
UCCAGACUCCUACGGGAGGCAGCAGUGGGGAAUAUUGCACAAUGGGGGGAACCCUGAUGCAGCGACGCCGCGUGGGUGAAGGAGCGUUUCGGCGCGUAAAGCCCUAUCGGCAGGGAAGAAGGAGGACGGUACCUGACUAAGAAGCCCCGGCUAACUACGUGCCAGCAGCCGCGGUAAUACGUAGGGGGCAAGCGUUAUCCGGAUUUACUGGGUGUAAAGGGGGCGCAGACGGCAGCGCAAGCCAGGAGUGAAAGCCCGGGGCCCAACCCCGGGACUGCUCUUGGAACUGCGCGGCUGGAGUGCAGGAGGGGCAGGCGGAAUUCCCGGUGUAGCGGUGAAAUGCGUAGAUAUCAGGAGGAACACCGGUGGCGAAGGCGGCCUGCUGGACUGCGACUGACGUUGAGGCCCGAAAGCGUGGGGAGCAAACAGGAUUAGAUACCCCGGUA